AGGAAGACCAGUCAGGGUCUUUGCACCACGACCAAGAGGACAAGCAGGAAGACCCGCGAGAGUCCUUGCACCACGACCACGAGGACAAGCAGGAAGACCAGCGAGAGUCCUUGCACCACGACCAAGAGGGCGAGGA
Long non-coding RNA from Pecten maximus, 136 nucleotides. RefSeq lists it as uncharacterized. The transcript has 3 exons. NCBI's taxonomy places the organism in Eukaryota, Metazoa, Mollusca, Bivalvia, Pectinida, Pectinidae. The record is from RefSeq and is a predicted model, not a curated record.